Molecule: ribosomal RNA, 433 nt
Filed under: uncultured Actinomycetes bacterium
Lineage: Bacteria; Bacillati; Actinomycetota; Actinomycetes
Description: bacterial SSU rRNA
Rfam family: Bacterial small subunit ribosomal RNA
Source: RNAcentral
AACGCGAAGAACCUUACCAGGGCUUGACAUGCACGGUGCAGCCGUAGAGAUACGGUGUCCUUUGGGGUCGUGCACAGGUGGUGCAUGGUUGUCGUCAGCUCGUGUCGUGAGAUGUUGGGUUAAGUCCCGCAACGAGCGCAACCCUCGUCCUGUAUUGCCAGCAGCAUCUUCGGAUGGCUGGGGACUUGCGGGAGACUGCCGGGGUCAACUCGGAGGAAGGUGGGGAUGACGUCAAAUCAUCAUGCCCCUUAUGUCCUGGGCUGCACGCAUGCUACAAUGGCCGGUACAGAGGGCUGCGAUACCGUGAGGUGGAGCGAAUCCCGUAAAGCCGGUCUCAGUUCGGAUCGGGGUCUGCAACUCGACCCCGUGAAGUCGGAGUCGCUAGUAAUCGCAGAUCAGCAACGCUGCGGUGAAUACGUUCCCGGGCCUUGUA